CCUACGGGUGGCAGCAGUGGGGAAUAUUGGGCAAUGGGCGCAAGUCUGACCCAGCAACGCCGCGUGAAGGAAGAAGGCCCUCGGGUUGUAAACUUCUUUUAUCAAGGACGAAACAAAUGACGGAACUUUUUAAUUAGGCCAGGGCUAACAACGUGCCAGCACCCGCGGUAAUACGUAGGUGGCAAGCGUUAUCCGAAUUGACUGGGUGUAAAGGGCGUGCAGGCGGGACGGCAAGUCAGAUGUGAAAACCAUGGGCUCAACCCAGGGACUGCAUUUGAAACUGUAGUUCUUGAGGGUUGGAGAGGCAGGCGGAAGUCCGAGUGUAGCGGUGAAAUGCGUAGAUAUAAGGAGGAACACCAGUGGCGAAGGCGGAUUGCUGGACAAUAACUGACGCUGAGGCGCGAAAGCGUGGGGAGCAAACAGGAUUAGAUACCCUUGUAGUC
This 443-nucleotide ribosomal RNA is filed under the name uncultured bacterium. RNAcentral describes it as "partial 16S ribosomal RNA". It matches the Rfam family "Bacterial small subunit ribosomal RNA", at positions 338 to 795 of the family's 1533-position model. The record is from RNAcentral.